GAUGAACGCUAGCGGCAGGCUUAACACAUGCAAGUCGAGGGGUAACAGAGAAAAGCUUGCUUUUUUGCUGACGACCGGCGCACGGGUGCGUAACGCGUAUACAAUCUGCCUUGUACUGAGGGAUAGCCUUUGGAAACGAAGAUUAAUACCUCAUGGUAUAUAGAUAUGGCAUCAUAUUUAUAUUAAAGGUUACGGUACAAGAUGAGUAUGCGUCCUAUUAGCUAGAUGGUGUGGUAACGGCAUACCAUGGCAACGAUAGGUAGGGGCCCUGAGAGGGGGAUCCCCCACACUGGUACUGAGACACGGACCAG
Molecule: ribosomal RNA, 311 nt
Filed under: uncultured bacterium
Lineage: Bacteria
Description: bacterial SSU rRNA
Rfam family: Bacterial small subunit ribosomal RNA
Source: RNAcentral